RNAcentral lists this ribosomal RNA (395 nucleotides) under uncultured bacterium. Its description in RNAcentral is "bacterial SSU rRNA". It matches the Rfam family "Bacterial small subunit ribosomal RNA", at positions 28 to 417 of the family's 1533-position model. The record is from RNAcentral.
GACGAACGCUGGCGGCGUGCUUAACACAUGCAAGUGGAGCGACGAACCAGGGCUUGCCCUGGGGCAGAGCCGCGAACGGGUGAGUAACACGUGGGUAACGUACCCCGAUGACUGGGACAACCCGGGGAAACCCGGGCUAAUACCGGAUGUGCACCCUCACAUCAGUGAGGUGUGUAAAGGAAGCUUCGGCCUCCGCGUUGGGAUCGGCCCGCGGCGCAUUAGCUUGUUGGUGAGGUAACGGCUCACCAAGGCCGCGAUGCGUAGCUGGUCUGAGAGGACGAUCAGCCACACUGGGACUGAGACACGGCCCAGACUCCUACGGGAGGCAGCAGUGGGGAAUCUUGCGCAAUGCGCGAAAGCGUGACGCAGCAACGCCGCGUGGGGGAAGAAGGCCU